CCUACGGGAGGCUGCAGUGAGGAAUAUUGGUCAAUGGCCGUAAGGCUGAACCAGCCAAGCCGCGUGAAGGAAGAAGGUCCUAUGGUUUGUAAACUUCUUUUAUAGGGGAAUAAAGGUAUCCACGUGUGGAUUUUUGCAUGUACCCUAUGAAUAAGCAUCGGCUAACUCCGUGCCAUCAGCCGCGGUAAUACGGUGGAUGCGAGCGUUAUCCGGGAUUGUUGGGUUUAAAGGGUGCGUAGGUUGGUUUUUAAGUCAGCGGUGAAAGUUUGUGGCUCAACCAUAAAAUUGCCGUUGAAACUGGAAGACUUGAGUGUGUUUGAGGUAGGCGGAAUGCGUGGUGUAGCGGUGAAAUGCAUAGAUAUCACGCAGAACACCGAUUGCGAAGGCAGCUUACUAAGCAAAAACUGACACUGAAGCACGAAAGCGUGGGGAUCAAACAGGAUUAGAUACCCUGGUAGUC
RNAcentral lists this ribosomal RNA (460 nucleotides) under uncultured bacterium. RNAcentral's name for it is "partial 16S ribosomal RNA". It matches the Rfam family "Bacterial small subunit ribosomal RNA", at positions 338 to 795 of the family's 1533-position model. The record is from RNAcentral.